AGACCCUGUACGGGGUACCCGGGACACCCGAUCUCUGGGUUCAGGUUUGCCCAUCUCUGGGCGGCAGGGCAAGGUCUCUUUACUAUAGCCAUGGACAACUCCAGCAUACAGGAACUCCAGCAACCCUUACUGCCAAGCGUAACCUGGGACCUCCUUGCUUCCAAGUCUGAGAAACCAGAGCUGGGAACCCUCUUCCCAGAAACUGCCUUUGCAGAUUCCCCGAGAGGCUGGCAGCUUCUUCUCCCACCUCUUCCUUCAGUGAGCGCUGGCCUGGGGGAGCCUGAGACCCCUGACCUUGAGGACACAUCAUCCAGUGACAGUGACUCAGAUGAUGAUGGGGGUGACCGGCUCUCUCCACUUCUUCCCCAUGACCACCUGGGCCUGGCGGUGUUCUCUGUGCUGUGCUGCUUUUGGCCUGUGGGCAUCGCUGCCUUCUGUCUGGCCCACAAGACCCGCCCUAGUUGCUCUUCGGCCCCCACUGUGAAUGCAGAGACCAGAGGACCAUCAAACCCGUGAGCAGAAUGGAUGAUCUUGGUGCACACAUGGUGACGGCGAGGACAUCACUCAGAAACAAGUCAGCUGGAGGUCCCCUCCCUUUCCUGGCCACCCCCACCCUCCAGAAAGAAGCAAUGUGAGAGAUUAAAGAUACCCUGAAGCC
Molecule: long non-coding RNA, 658 nt
Filed under: Rattus norvegicus (Norway rat)
Lineage: Eukaryota; Metazoa; Chordata; Mammalia; Rodentia; Muridae
Description: long non-coding RNA NONRATT002411
Source: RNAcentral